UCACCUUUUCUCUAUUUUUUUCUCCAUUACUGAAUCACAUCACCACUCUCUCCUCUCAGCCCUACGAACACCAAGAUGAAGAGCAACCGUGAUAAACCCCCAUCUUCACCAUUAACAAUUUUUUUUUUCUUACUUACUUCCAAAGUCGGUACCGUUUGCAUCAUCCUCUUCACCAUCUGCAACCACAGACUGUUCGCAAAGGGCUAGGGUUUGUCACCCAAGAAAUCAGCAAUCCUGGAAUUAGCCUUGGAUAUGUAUCAGAGGGUUGAAAAAUACAAGCCCAAGUUUCAGAUAUGUUUUGCUAUUUCUUAUUACUGUCAGGCUAUUGGAAUUAUAUAAAUACUUAUUUAAUUUCUAGAGUUCAUCUGUUUUUUUUUUUAAUUGUGGGGUUUUAUUUAUUUAUUUGGGUAUGUUAUAUGCUGUUGGCUCUUGGAAUUAUAUGGCUUCUUGGGUUAAAUGGAUUACGGUCUGUCUUGGGUUUUGGGUUUGUGAAUAGUUCAUCUAGUUUAACUGCUGUUCCAUUUUUUUUUUUUUGUAGUUUUUUUUUGAAGUUUUUUAAUUUCCAAUGACACAACAUCACACUACUUCACACUACUUUUCUUUUCUUAACCUAUUAACUAUCAAGAUAGCCAACAAAAAGAGAAUACAUUAUUAUUGGAACACAUUUUUAUUUUCAGAUCCUCACCCUAGGAUGUUUAUCUAAUUCUCUUUUUGCUCCUAGCUUUAGAUAUAUCACUGACAAAACAUCACACAAUUUUUCUUUUCUUAACCUAUUCACAAAAGAAAGAGUACACUUUUAUUUUUAGAUCUUUGAUAAAUCUGACAAUAGCAAAUGAAAGGGAUCGAAAAGUGGAAGAUAACAAAGAUCUUUGAUAAAUCUGACAAUAGCAAAUGAAAGGGAUCGAAAAGUGGAAGAUAACAAAGAUCUUUGAUAAAUCUGACAAUAGCAAAUGAAAGGGAUCGAAAAGUGGAAGAUAACAAAAUAAGUAAACCACAAGAUAGACUUACAGAGAUAGAAAUCAGAAAUGUAAAACUCUGAAAGUCUCCAACCAAAAAAACCUGAAAAGAAAUCACCAUUAGAAACGAACAGAAAACAUUAAGCACUGCAGGAAACAAUGAAAAAAAAGAAGAAGAAAGAAAUGCUAGUAGGGUAAGGUAACAAUGAAAGAAAGAAGAAAGAAAAGCCAGUAGGGUAAAGAAAA
This is a long non-coding RNA of Carya illinoinensis, 1202 nucleotides long. RefSeq lists it as uncharacterized. NCBI's taxonomy places the organism in Eukaryota, Viridiplantae, Streptophyta, Magnoliopsida, Fagales, Juglandaceae. The transcript has 2 exons. The record is from RefSeq and is a predicted model, not a curated record.